This 74-nucleotide transfer RNA is filed under the name Tepidiforma flava. RNAcentral's name for it is "tRNA-Met". It matches the Rfam family "tRNA". Rfam says of the family: Transfer RNA (tRNA) molecules are approximately 80 nucleotides in length. Their secondary structure includes four short double-helical elements and three loops (D, anti-codon, and T loops). Lineage: Bacteria; Bacillati; Chloroflexota; Tepidiformia; Tepidiformales; Tepidiformaceae. The record is from RNAcentral.
CGCGGGGUGGAGCAGUGGUAGCUCGUCGGGCUCAUAACCCGAAGGUCGGGGGUUCGAAUCCCUCCCCGCUACCA